AAAAUCAAUGGAAGUGUUAUGUUACAACUGAUAAUGAAUAAUAACUGAGUUAGGUAACAUAGGCACUUGGAUCCACGUUUUCAUCAACCCCUCAAAUUGCUUUGUAAGAUACAAGAAGAUAAUGAAGAAAACUAAGAGCUAUACUAUAAUCCUACUCAGAGAAGUGCCAACCGUUGGCUUUGCAGUACUAUUAUGGAGAAACAGUUGGAAUGCUCUUGCUUUGGAAGGACCCCAUAUGAAGCAAAGAGGAUUCAUGAAUAAAAUGAAUGAAAGAGUUUUGAAGACAAACAAAGAAAACACAUACUUCAAUGUUUGGUCCUUCAAAAGGCAAUGAUCUGAAUUGUUAUGAAGAAUACUGGCCUUGAAGAACUGAUAGAAUUAGGUUCUCAGACCUUUGGGACUGCAUAUCACGGAAAAUGGAAAGGUACUAAUGUAGAAAUUGAGCAAAUUAAUGAUAGGUGUUUUGCUGUAAAGCCUUAAGAGCAGGACCACUUGGUCUGUAUCUCAUUAUUAUUGAUUUGUUUUUAUUUCUAUAAUCCCCUACUUUCUUUGGUAAUUAGGAAUCUAUCUUCAGUUGUUUUUGGUUUAUGCAUCAAGGUGAGAGAUGACUUUUGGAAUUAGGAAAUCAAGCUGACAGACUUGCACCAUCCAAAUGUGGUAGCUUUCUAUGUUGUUAUGCUAGAUAGCCCACGAGGCUCUGUGGAAACAAUAACAAAGUAUAUGGUCACUACAAGAAAAUAGGGGCUUAGCGGCGGUUGAAAGUAGGACCGACGGC
Long non-coding RNA from Lotus japonicus, 775 nucleotides. RefSeq lists it as uncharacterized. NCBI's taxonomy places the organism in Eukaryota, Viridiplantae, Streptophyta, Magnoliopsida, Fabales, Fabaceae. The transcript has 4 exons. The record is from RefSeq and is a predicted model, not a curated record.